Molecule: long non-coding RNA, 596 nt
Organism: Nicotiana attenuata
Lineage: Eukaryota; Viridiplantae; Streptophyta; Magnoliopsida; Solanales; Solanaceae
Exons: 3
Source: RefSeq, a predicted model, not a curated record
AGCUCCAUCUGGACAGAAUGCCCCAGAGGCCAGAUCUGCUCAUCUAAUCGACCCGUCCCGACCAGACAUACCUGCUAGUUUAAGGAUAAAAAUUUAACAUUUCAAGUUUCCUAGCAAACCUCGUAUUCAGGGAUCCACGUUGAUUUGUAUUUUGAUUUCCAUGAUAGUGUUUGAAAUGGUAAAUUUUUUACGCAAUUUGGUGUUAUGGUGAGAAAUAAAGAGCAUGCUUUGGGGAUGAAGUUCAUACCACGCGACCAGACAGAAAAGGCAAAGGAAAAAAGCUCGGAGGAGUCCAGUUAUUCUCCACUUAAUUUCGAAUAGCCUUUUUCCCAAAAUUAACUGAUGAAUUAAUUUUAACCCCAAGAGCAAGGUAGGGAGUUCUUGGAGGGAAGGAUGCCGAUGGUAUAUCGGAAAGAGCCUCUCUAUCGCAGGGUAGAGAUGGUGCUAGCAAAGGUGUGAUGCACAUCUUGAAUACUGUCAUUCGCAGCCCAAGUGAUGGGGUAAUUGAUAAUUUGAUAUGAAUAAUAGCAUGGAUUUCCUCUUCAUAUUCUCUUUCUGUCUCCCUUCAUACAUCUGGUUUUAACUUAAAUUUAGCA